CCUACGGGGGGCAGCAGUGGGGAAUAUUGGACAAUGGGGGCAACCCUGAUCCAGCCAUGCCGCGUGUGUGAAGAAGGCCCUCGGGUUGUAAAGCACUUUCAGUGAGGAAGAACGCCUGGUGGUUAAUACCCAUCAGGAAAGACAUCACUCACAGAAGAAGCACCGGCUAACUCCGUGCCAGCAGCCGCGGUAAUACGGAGGGUGCGAGCGUUAAUCGGAAUUACUGGGCGUAAAGCGCGCGUAGGUGGCUUGAUAAGCCGGUUGUGAAAGCCCCGGGCUCAACCUGGGAACGGCAUCCGGAACUGUCAAGCUAGAGUGCAGGAGAGGAAGGUAGAAUUCCCGGUGUAGCGGUGAAAUGCGUAGAGAUCGGGAGGAAUACCAGUGGCGAAGGCGGCCUUCUGGACUGACACUGACACUGAGGUGCGAAAGCGUGGGUAGCAAACAGGAUUAGAGACCCGGGUAGUC
Molecule: ribosomal RNA, 465 nt
Filed under: Vreelandella stevensii
Lineage: Bacteria; Pseudomonadati; Pseudomonadota; Gammaproteobacteria; Oceanospirillales; Halomonadaceae
Description: partial 16S ribosomal RNA
Rfam family: Bacterial small subunit ribosomal RNA
Source: RNAcentral